RNAcentral lists this ribosomal RNA (582 nucleotides) under Scedosporium boydii. Its description in RNAcentral is "eukaryotic LSU rRNA". The stretch from base 166 to 319 matches the Rfam family "5.8S ribosomal RNA". The record is from RNAcentral. Lineage: Eukaryota; Fungi; Ascomycota; Sordariomycetes; Microascales; Microascaceae.
AGGACUCUACUCCAAACCCAUUGUGACCUUACCUAUGUUCUGUUGCCUCGGCGGCGUGGUCAGCGCCCCCUCUGAAAAGAGGACGAUGCCCUCCCGCCGGCAGCACCAAACUCUUGAAUUUUACAGCGGAUUACAGUUCUGAUUUGAAAAGAAAAAACAAGUUAAAACUUUCAACAACGGAUCUCUUGGUUCUGGCAUCGAUGAAGAACGCAGCGAAAUGCGAUAAGUAAUGUGAAUUGCAGAAUUCAGUGAAUCAUCGAAUCUUUGAACGCACAUUGCGCCCGGCAGUAAUCUGCCGGGCAUGCCUGUCCGAGCGUCAUUUCAACCCUCGAACCUCCGUUUCCUCAGGGAAGCUCAGGGUCGGUGUUGGGGCGCUACGGCGAGUCUUCGCGACCCUCCGUAGGCCCUGAAAUACAGUGGCGGUCCCGCCGCGGUUGCCUUCUGCGUAGUAAGUCUCUUUUGCAAGCUCGCAUUGGGUCCCGGCGGAGGCCUGCCGUCAAACCACCUAUAACUCCAGAUGGUUUGACCUCGGAUCAGGUAGGGUUACCCGCUGAACUUAAGCAUAUCAAUAGGCCGGAGGAA